UGGCCACCGGGGCUGCAGGAACCAGGACACUGAUAACCACAGCCUUCAUGGCAGUAAGUGAAGGGAGAAAGGGAGACCUACCAAGCUGAAACAGCUGAACGCACUGGGUGAAUGUGGCAGGACAGACAGGACCAUGCUGACAGUCCUGCUCAGUAAAUAUUUGCUGAUGACCAGCAUGACGACGCUUGGAGAAACUAACCCCCACCAAACUGUUCAGGAAAACAUUCUUCUUUCAUCACUGACCAAUGGAAUUUCUGUAUCCCAGAGAUGUUGUCUCAGGCAUGCAACAGUGACUACAGCUGAGAGAAGAAGAUACAGAAGAAAGUUGCCCUCCAGGACGAAGGCUAAGCUCUCAAUUCUAGGGGACAAUUCUGGCCCCCGGCCAGCCCAGCACUUCUGUCACGUCUUGCCUGGCGCAUCUGUCUGGCUGUGAAAUGGUUUUCUGCACCUCAUGCUGCCCCCAAGACAGCAGUGGAGCACGGAAAGCUGAGAGACGGUGGAGAAGGCUGACUUUCAUCAUAGCAGGUCUGACUUUAAUAACAGCAGGUACUGCUGUGCUACUGUUUUGCCUCCACGUGACUCACCGUAUCUCUCUGCUAUUUAGUUCCUGAUCACUAAAGCCUUGUGACCCCUUAGGAGGCUGGUGAUUUUCUCACAAGGAGGACCUCAGAGCACCAAGAAGCAUAGUGAGCUCCUUAGAGGGAACGUUUCACUGACGGUGUGAUCUGAUGGGUUGAGCAUGAACAUUCUGCAGCGCAGACCGGGUUCCUCCAGGCCUUGGAGGGGCUGAGCUUCCAGCUCCUGGGAGCCUGUCAGUGUCUCAGGGCUUCUGGGAGCAGGCCCUGCACAGAGCACGAGCCCGUCGAUGGAGGGACAUGAGGAGUUUGCUGUGUGAACUCGCCCUGGCCUCCCAGGGAAGCAGCAGGCAGACCAUCCUCUCUGAGGUUGAUGGCUACUUUCUAACAGAAGAGUCAGAGAGAUAGUGACUCAAGUGGGCACAGGCUUUGUCAGCAGCUGCCAGAGGUACAGACUGAAGCGAGCAUCUCAUGUCUUCCCCAGGUGGAGACAGGACUGUCCACUUCCUCAAGGACCUGUUGAUGGGUCAGAAAUGGAAUCACCCUUGGGUGGUCCUCACAGAGGAAGGACAGCUAUCGUGAUCCAGGCCAGGCAAUAGUACAGCUACGUUUUGCAGUAGAAAAAUGGAGACCCAAUUAAAAACUUCCAUGUAUCCAAAAUCACCAUACAUUAGGUGAUAUGAAGGAAUAAUUGUUAAU
This 1274-nucleotide long non-coding RNA is filed under the name Equus caballus (horse). RNAcentral describes it as "lncRNA (ENSECAG00000049865.1)". Lineage: Eukaryota; Metazoa; Chordata; Mammalia; Perissodactyla; Equidae. The record is from RNAcentral.